RNAcentral lists this long non-coding RNA (331 nucleotides) under Nicotiana benthamiana. RNAcentral's name for it is "long non-coding RNA (NBEN_LNC028968)". The record is from RNAcentral. Lineage: Eukaryota; Viridiplantae; Streptophyta; Magnoliopsida; Solanales; Solanaceae.
GACGUGUACAUGUCAUGGUAUACAUGAUAGAUCCCACUGCACUAGCGUAUGGGAUCCUACUCAUGCGUUCUCUCUCUUCAGGUGUUUUAGGACAAUCCUCCCUAAUACAUGUCGUGGUAUACAUGAUAGCUCCCACUGCACUAGCGUAUUGGAUCCUACUCAUGCGUUCUCUCUUCAGGUGUUUUAGGACAAUCCUCCCUACUGAGAGAAAUUCCAGUGCCUAUCGGUAGAUAGCCUCUUUUGGAAUUAUCCAUGUUAUACAUCUUUAAGAUAGUAUCAAUGUACAAAGACUGGGAAAGUCCAAGCAGCUUCCUAGAUCUAUCUCUAUAGA